GACCUGAUGCAGCCAUGCCGCGUGUGUGAAGAAGGCCUUCGGGUUGUAAAGCACUUUCAGUUGUGAGGAAAGGUUGGUAGUUAAUACCUGCCAGCUGUGACGUUAACAACAGAAGAAGCACCGGCUAACUCCGUGCCAGCAGCCGCGGUAAUACGGAGGGUGCGAGCGUUAAUCGGAAUUACUGGGCGUAAAGCGGACGCAGGCGGUUUGUUAAGCUAGAUGUGAAAGCCCCGGGCUCAACCUGGGAUGGUCAUUUAGAACUGGCAGACUAGAGUCUUGGAGAGGGGAGUGGAAUUCCAGGUGUAGCGGUGAAAUGCGUAGAUAUCUGGAGGAACAUCAGUGGCGAAGGCGACUCCCUGGCCAAAGACUGACGCUCAUGUCCGAAAGUGUGGGUAGCGAACAGGAUUAGAUACCCUGGUAGUCCACACCGUAAACGCUGUCUACUAGCUGUGUGUGAAUUUAAUUCGUGCGUAGCGAAGCUAACGCGCUAAGUAGACCGCCUGGGGAGUACGGCCGCAAGGUUAAAACUCAA
RNAcentral lists this ribosomal RNA (532 nucleotides) under Alteromonadaceae bacterium. RNAcentral describes it as "bacterial SSU rRNA". It matches the Rfam family "Bacterial small subunit ribosomal RNA", at positions 380 to 904 of the family's 1533-position model. The record is from RNAcentral. Lineage: Bacteria; Pseudomonadati; Pseudomonadota; Gammaproteobacteria; Alteromonadales; Alteromonadaceae.